CCGCCGCUGGCGAUCCUGGUGCCCAGAGUCUUCGACUUCCCACCCGCCGCCGCCCGCACCAAGAUGUCGGUGCCGGCGUACGAUCUCAUGUUCGGGAAGCUCUCCCUGCGCGCCCUGUUCCACGACUACUUUCACCAGCCCGGGAAGGGGGUCGUCGACGCGGGCCUUCUCUUCAGGGCGCCCUUGAACGACACCCGCGUUGAUCUCGCCGCCACCGUAUCCAUUCAAUAUUACAUGGAUGUGGAUGAUCCGCAUAAUUUUGUGGAUAUUCUUGCGUCGACUUCGAAACGCAUGUUGCGACUGAGGUCAGCCGCUUACUAUCCUAGUAUUGGUAUUGGCGCCUUUGGGACGUUCCCUCUGCUUAUGGAAAACAGGGCGUCUUCAGAGGACUAUGGUGUCAUGGGUUUAAGAUAUGUUUCACGGAAUCUAUCAAUUGGAGCGUCCUUUUUGCCGUUUCCCUUUCCUGGUGAGGUACCAUAUGGUGCAUGGUUAGUUGGGAGAAAAGGGAAUUUCAGCGCAGGACUACAAUACAAGCCACUUAGUGGAAGCAACCAUGCUAUGCCUUUUACAGACUUGAAGAACUGGAAUUGUGCAAUCAGCUAUGGCAUGCGCUCAACUAGCCCACUCGACCCUUCAUUACUUUUUGCCCUCGAGCUUGUCAGAAAUACACAGCUGGUGGCAUCGGUCUAUCAACACCAUAUUCUUUUAAAACAAGAAAAUGAGCGUCGUGGCAAUGAUCGUAUUACCGGACGUUUAAGCUACCUUGAUUUUGGGCUUGAGCUAGCGACAAGGGUUAAUGAAGACAAACCAGUGGACAAUGCUGACAAAUCCAUGUUUCAGAUAGCUGGAAGUUGGCAACUUAAUGAAAACUUACUAGUAAAGGCAAAGGCAGGUCCUUCCAAAUCUUCUGCUGCUUUAGCAUUGAAGUUUAAACCCUUCUUUACAGCCAGUGUUACAGAAAAUAUA
This 966-nucleotide ribosomal RNA is filed under the name Triticum aestivum (bread wheat). RNAcentral's name for it is "partial small subunit ribosomal RNA". The record is from RNAcentral. Lineage: Eukaryota; Viridiplantae; Streptophyta; Magnoliopsida; Poales; Poaceae.